Molecule: unclassified non-coding RNA, 240 nt
Filed under: soil metagenome
Description: partial contains 5.8S ribosomal RNA, internal transcribed spacer 2, and large subunit ribosomal RNA
Source: RNAcentral
AACUGAUACUACCUGCGGGAACCUGCGGAGGGAUCAUUAAUGAAUUACAAAGUCGGUAGAUUGUGCUGGCAGUAAUGCAUGUGCACGUCUAUCGCAAAUCCACACACCUGUGCACUAUGACUUUGAGAUUCGUCCUUUUAGGACAGCCGGUUUGACUCCGUGUCUAACCUGAAUCUUAAGGUAUUUACACACACGCAUGAAUGAAAAGAAUGGUAUUGUGCUUAUGCAUAUUACAUACAA